This 69-nucleotide transfer RNA is filed under the name Ictidomys tridecemlineatus (thirteen-lined ground squirrel). RNAcentral describes it as "Spermophilus tridecemlineatus (thirteen-lined ground squirrel) tRNA". It matches the Rfam family "tRNA". Rfam says of the family: Transfer RNA (tRNA) molecules are approximately 80 nucleotides in length. Their secondary structure includes four short double-helical elements and three loops (D, anti-codon, and T loops). Further hydrogen bonds mediate the characteristic L-shaped molecular structure. tRNAs have two regions of fundamental functional importance: the anti-codon, which is responsible for specific mRNA codon recognition, and the 3' end, to which the tRNAs corresponding amino acid is attached (by aminoacyl-tRNA synthetases). tRNAs cope with the degeneracy of the genetic code in two manners: having more than one tRNA (with a specific anti-codon) for a particular amino acid; and 'wobble' base-pairing, i.e. permitting non-standard base-pairing at the 3rd anti-codon position. Lineage: Eukaryota; Metazoa; Chordata; Mammalia; Rodentia; Sciuridae. The record is from Rfam by way of RNAcentral.
GGGGCUGUAGCUCAAUGGCAGAGCACUUGCCUGGCAUGUAUGAGGCACUGGGUUCCAUCUUCAGCACCA